UACGUAGGGUGCGAGCGUUGUCCGGAUUAUUGGGCGUAAAGAGCUCGUAGGCGGUGUGUCACGUCGGCCGUGAAAACCUGGGGCUUAACUCUGGGCGUGCGGUCGAUACGGGCAUCACUAGAGUUCGGCAGGGGAGACUGGAAUUCCUGGUGUAGCGGUGAAAUGCGCAGAUAUCAGGAGGAACACCGGUGGCGAAGGCGGGUCUCUGGGCCGAUACUGACGCUGAGGAGCGAAAGCAUGGGGAGCGAACAGG
RNAcentral lists this ribosomal RNA (253 nucleotides) under uncultured bacterium. RNAcentral's name for it is "partial 16S ribosomal RNA". It matches the Rfam family "Bacterial small subunit ribosomal RNA", at positions 524 to 776 of the family's 1533-position model. The record is from RNAcentral.